GCCCGGAUGGCGAAAUUGGUAGACGCGCUAGUUUCAGGGACUAGUACUCAUAUAGAGUGUGCAGGUUCGAGUCCUGUUCCGGGCA
Molecule: transfer RNA, 85 nt
Filed under: Bacteroidota bacterium
Lineage: Bacteria; Pseudomonadati; Bacteroidota
Also listed under: 2 other names
Description: tRNA-Leu
Rfam family: tRNA
About the family: Transfer RNA (tRNA) molecules are approximately 80 nucleotides in length. Their secondary structure includes four short double-helical elements and three loops (D, anti-codon, and T loops).
Source: RNAcentral